AAUACUCCAACCACUGCAGAACCGUACACACAACCAUCAACAUCAGCAAACGUCAAGACGGCAAUUAGCACUGUGCUGUUUCUAACCAGCAGGCAGGGUCUCUCCUGAACAGCAAAUUUAUCGCCAUUUCAUUCCUGACAUUUUCUUCACCCCCAGAGUCAAUAAAAUGGAGGUUCUGAUUGGGAAUCGUCUUGUUCGAGUGUGUAUUGUGUCGAGGUACAGGACCGUGCUUUCAAUGGUACCUUCAAAGGUAAGCCUUAAACAAUGCCAGCGGGAAUUACAACUUUAGCUCAGACAGGAGAGAGCUGGCCAUUGAAUCCUUCCAGUCCCAGCACCAAGGCUGAUACCUUGUUGCGAUCACCAGGGUUUGGAACGAUAUUUAAUGUGACCACGAAUUCCAUCAACCUCAGAGCUAGGUAAUUCAUUCUUCAUCUUUGAUCUGUGCUUGUUCUUCACUGGGGUCCAGCUGAAGUCUUGACAGGAACACUC
Molecule: long non-coding RNA, 489 nt
Organism: Chiloscyllium plagiosum (whitespotted bambooshark)
Lineage: Eukaryota; Metazoa; Chordata; Chondrichthyes; Orectolobiformes; Hemiscylliidae
Source: RefSeq, a predicted model, not a curated record